GACAAGAGCAAGAUUCUGUCUCAAAAAUAAAAUUUUAAAAGUUCUGCAAUUCUGCAUAAAGAUAAAUGCUAUUUGUUCCUGGGGGCUGGGGUCACCAGGGAGGCUUCCUGGAGGAGGAGGCAGGGCUGAGGAAUGGAUGGCAGCAGAGAGUAUUUGUGGGUGAGGCUAUGGUGCUGCUGGAGAGGCAGGGUGUGGCAGCUUGGGCUGGGGCCAGCAGUGAGCUUGGAAUUCCCCAGGGCUUUCCAGAAGCCAGAAGGCCGGGGCGGAGUGGGUUGUCCAAGAGCUUGUCUUGUCCUCUUGCCCUGGCCACAGCCGGGAAGCCCUGGGCAGGCGCCCGUGGAUAGCUGGCACGCUCAGCCUUUGGUGGAGAACUGAGAAAGUCUGAAGCAGGAAGGUGGAAAAACAUUUCGUGCUCAGGGAGGAAACGUCUUCACCCCGGUUUACAGGAUGACACGUCAGCAGGGCCCUCACCAGAUGCUGGCCCCUUGAUCUCAGACUUCCCGGCCUCCUGCGCUGCCAGCCUAAUACACUUCUCUUCGUUGUAAAUUACUCAGUCUGUGAUAUUCUGUGAUAGCAACAGAAAACAGACGAAGACGCAGGCCAAGGCAGAUCAAGAUACUGGCUCCGGUCAAAUACUGUGUUUCGACGUGAUUGACAGGCGAAGGCUUAAGGAAAAGGAAGAGGAGAAAAAAAGGGGAGGACGAUCAAGGAAAAGAGGAGAUAAAAGUGGACAACCCAGCCGGGCGCGGUGGCUCACGCCUGCCAUCCCAGCACUUUGGGAGGCGGAGGUGGGCGGAUCACGAGGUCA
This 808-nucleotide long non-coding RNA is filed under the name Homo sapiens (human). RNAcentral's name for it is "HSALNT0331419". The record is from RNAcentral. Lineage: Eukaryota; Metazoa; Chordata; Mammalia; Primates; Hominidae.